This 218-nucleotide ribosomal RNA is filed under the name uncultured bacterium. RNAcentral's name for it is "partial 16S ribosomal RNA". It matches the Rfam family "Bacterial small subunit ribosomal RNA", at positions 524 to 738 of the family's 1533-position model. The record is from RNAcentral.
GACAGAGGAUGCAAGCGUUAUCCGGAAUGAUUGGGCGUAAAGCGUCUGUAGGUGGCUUUUCAAGUCCGCCGUCAAAUCCCAGGGCUCAACCCUGGACAGGCGGUGGAAACUACCAAGCUGGAGUACGGUAGGGGCAGGAGGAAUUUCCGGGUGGAGCGGUGAAAUGCAUUGAGAUCGGAAAGAACGAACCAACGGCGAAAGCACUCUAGCGGGCCGCG